Molecule: ribosomal RNA, 474 nt
Filed under: uncultured bacterium
Lineage: Bacteria
Description: bacterial SSU rRNA
Rfam family: Bacterial small subunit ribosomal RNA
Source: RNAcentral
AGAGUUUGAUCCUGGCUCAGAGCGAACGCUGGCGGCAGGCUUAACACAUGCAAGUCGAGCGGGCGUAGCAAUACGUCAGCGGCAGACGGGUGAGUAACGCGUGGGAACGUACCUUUUGGUUCGGAACAACACAGGGAAACUUGUGCUAAUACCGGAUAAGCCCUUACGGGGAAAGAUUUAUCGCCAAAAGAUCGGCCCGCGUCUGAUUAGCUAGUUGGUAGGGUAAUGGCCUACCAAGGCGACGAUCAGUAGCUGGUCUGAGAGGAUGAUCAGCCACAUUGGGACUGAGACACGGCCCAAACUCCUACGGGAGGCAGCAGUGGGGAAUAUUGGACAAUGGGCGCAAGCCUGAUCCAGCCAUGCCGCGUGAGUGAUGAAGGCCCUAGGGUUGUAAAGCUCUUUUGUGCGGGAAGAUAAUGACGGUACCGCAAGAAUAAGCCCCGGCUAACUUCGUGCCAGCAGCCGCGGUAAUAC